This 252-nucleotide ribosomal RNA is filed under the name uncultured bacterium. RNAcentral describes it as "partial 16S ribosomal RNA". It matches the Rfam family "Bacterial small subunit ribosomal RNA", at positions 524 to 776 of the family's 1533-position model. The record is from RNAcentral.
UACGGAGGAUGCGAGCGUUAUCCGGAUUUAUUGGGUUUAAAGGGUGCGUAGGCGGAUUUUUAAGUCAGCGGUAAAAUGUCCGGGCUCAACCCGGGCCGGCCGUUGAAACUGGGGAUCUUGAGUGGGCGAGAAGUAUGCGGAAUGCGUGGUGUAGCGGUGAAAUGCAUAGAUAUCACGCAGAACCCCGAUUGCGAAGGCAGCAUACCGGUGCACAACUGACGCUCAGGCACGAAAGCGUGGGUAUCGAACAGG